GCCUCCUGAAUUGUAGUCUAGAAAUGCGCCAUCGGCCGCGCCCGCCGCUCAAAUCCCUUGGAACAGGGUAUCGGAGAAGGUGAGAAUCCUGUGCCGUGGUGGCGCGCGGCCGCACGAUGCGUUCUUGUCGAGUCGGGCUGCUUGGGAGUGCAGCUUGAAGUGGGUGGUAAAUUCCAUCUAAAGCUAAAUACUGGCGAGAGACCGAUAGCGAACAAGUACCGUGAGGGAAAGAUGCAAAGAACUUUGAAAAGAGAGUUAAAGAGUGCUUGAAAUUGGCAGGAGGAAACCCGAUUGCGCCCGCUGUUGCGUGGCAUCGACUCAGCCGUGCGCGUGCCUGUCUGGGACCGUAAGGCCCUUUUGGCUGUAGCGCGCGGUGCACUUCGGUGUCGCGCGUCAGCCGCGGCUGGCGUGGCGCGAGAGCGCGCGGGGCAGGGCUUCGGUGAGCCCCGCGUUUGAGCGCCUUGCUGGCCCCGGCUGACUGACCGGGCGCAACCGACCCGUCUAGAAACACGGACCAAGGAGUCUGACAUGUGUGCGAGUACAUGGGUGGCAAGCCCAGGUGCGCAAUGAAAGUGAAGGGCGUGCCCCGCCAACCGACCUUGACCUGCUGUGAAGGGUUUGAGUGGAGCAUGCAUGCCGGGACCCGAAAGAUGGUGAACUAUGCCUGAGGAGGGUGAAGCCAGAGGAAACUCUGGUGGAGGCUCGUAGCGAUACUGACGUGCAAAUCGUUCGUCGAACUUGGGUAUAGGGGCGAAAGACUAAUCGAACCAUCUAGUAGCUGGUUCCCUCCGAAGUUUCCCUCAGGAUAGCUUGAACGCCGACGGUUUUG
Molecule: ribosomal RNA, 829 nt
Filed under: Haptophyta environmental samples
Lineage: Eukaryota; Haptophyta
Description: eukaryotic LSU rRNA
Rfam family: Eukaryotic large subunit ribosomal RNA
Source: RNAcentral